RNAcentral lists this long non-coding RNA (5530 nucleotides) under Triticum aestivum (bread wheat). Its description in RNAcentral is "long non-coding RNA (TAES_LNC010886)". The record is from RNAcentral. Lineage: Eukaryota; Viridiplantae; Streptophyta; Magnoliopsida; Poales; Poaceae.
GACAGUGUUACAAGUAGUACAGGCGGUGGGGAUGAAUACAGCAAGGUCUGAGCUCACGAUUGAGAUGGUGUUUCCCAGCAGGAUCCUUCACUAUUCACUCUGCUGAGCUGCUGCUUGUGACUGCAUAAUCAUGCAGUGAAACGUGCGCAAGGUGGACAACUGGAAUGAUCUCUGUUUGUCUUUCUCACUGCCCUGCUGCUACGGCCGAGACCCUACAAGCGAACCCCCCAGGAGCUUAAGAGAAACUGGGUCAUUAACUCUGCAGAGAAGAAAAGACUUUUUGUGAGAUUAUAAUGAGGCGCAGAGCAGCUGAAGACUACAAUGGACCAUAAAUAGUUACAACCAGUGUUGGUUUCUCCAACGGUGAACAAGAGCUGGAUAAAACUUCCAUGAACUAAGCAAGUAAAUAAAUAGCAUCACAUUAGCAGAUACAGUGUCAGUUCUGCGAUUCAACGCCUAGAGUUUGUAAAACAGUUCAUUAAAAGGAGACCGCAUCACAGCCACUUCCAAAUCUGUUCACCGGCCUCCGCCUAUCGCAGUGCAGAGAGAAAGCAAUAAAGGAGUACAAAACUGAAGUUCCAAACAUUCCAGCACCCUACAAAAUCUAAACAGAAACUACAGGUUUUAAGCUUCAGGGGAGAAGGUGUCCAUAGCUCCAGAUCACUCCAUGCACUCAAUCAAAUGAACGAGACAUCUUGGCUUGCUGACAGACAAAUUGGAUGCAACUAGAACACUAGUUUGCACAACCAGCAUUUUUCUCUAGAGAUGAUGAGCUUGCAGCUGAACAUGCAGAUAGCACCUGAAAAAACGAACGUCGUCUAUUUUCAGAUGCACACGCAAGACGAAAGGUCAACAAAGUGAUCUGGUUGGAUACAAAUAAAUUUUAUGCUGAAAGAGAAUUUCAACUGCACUGCUUAAGAUUUGUGUACCAGAAACAUGGAUCUUACUCCUAAAAUUAUUAGGGAGUCUUGAUUACAAAAAAAGAAGUCCUUACUGCCAUUGGUUCUCUUCAUCCAGCAAAGCUGGUAUGCUACUGAAGUUUUUGAAAGAAUAGCAGUAUAGCUAACCUGAAAUUGUUAUGGCUCAACCGCUCAAGUGAAGAAUCAUCUGAACUAAUCAAAUGUAUAAUUAUGAUGAGAGUUCACACAUACUGCGGAUUUAAUUUAGGUACAUGGGACAUAUACUUGAGAACUAUUGCUCAAAUAUCUUUGGCCUCAGACUGAGCCAUGACAGGUUUCUACUUUGAUUUCUGUUAGUGGAAUAGGAAACACACAAGAAUCAAUAUGGGAAGGCUCCCAUAUACUAGAUAUAACAUUAUUCAACCUUAAUCAGGAAGAGCACGGAUAUUCUAAACCUUUUCUUUCACUGCCCCUACAGAGUAAAAUCAAUGACUCACAAUAUCAAUAAAGAAGUACCUCUGGUCUACAGAGUAACACCUAUUUUUUGCAGGAAGUAAUAAUAUGCUAUAACCAUUAAAGAAACACAACAAUAUACUAUCACAGCAGAAAGAACAAAAAUUCUUUGGAUUAUGAACCUCUAGUGAGACAACAAAUCUACACGUAGACCAGAAGGUAAAGGAGUGUAUCUAUACAGGAUUGACAGUGUUACAAGAAAAGGGGGUGGUUAACCCAGAAAACAGGGGCACAUGAGGUGGGGAUGAAUACAGCAAAUGUGUGAGCAGGAUCCUUCACUAUUCACUCUGCUCACAGCCCUGCUGUGCUGUGGUCGAGACCCUGGACGUCAACCCCACAUCACCCUAUGGUUGCAACCAAACAUUUGAUGACUAACACUGUCAGCAAGCUCCUCCCUGGCUUUCUCAGCACAUUCUCUUGUAGUGUAGGUCAAAAAGCAAUGGAGGCCCGAUCCCUCGAAUACUGCUCAGUUAUUCAAGCAUCAAGGCAACCAAUCAGUCACCUGCCUUGCUCAGGAGCUUAAGAGAACUGGGUGAUUAACUCUGCAGACAAAAAAAAUGCUUCUUGUGAGAUUAUAGUCAAGUGCAGAGCAGAUGAAGACCACCAAAUGGACCAGAAAUAGUUGCAUCUAGUGUUGGUUUCUCCAUUGGAAAAACAAAAGCUUGCUAAAACUUAAUCGAACAAAACACACAAAUAAAUAUCAUCAGAUUAGCAGAUACAAUGCCAAUUAAGUGAUUAAACGCCUAGAGUUUGUAAACCAGUUAGACUAACAAUAUGAAAAUAUCUAUUGUUUCUUUAACUAAUGAUUUGGCUCGCCAAGUCGUAUCACUUGAAAGGCUACAAAAAUAAACCAAAGACCAAACCAGAAAUCUUGCAAAAAAAUACUCACAUUUGAAGAUCCGCACAGGUUUGCAUGUGGUAUCAAAUUCACCAAGUGUCGAACAGCAUGAGAAAUAUCAAAAUGAAACAAAUUCUCCAGAACAUGUAAAAUAAAAAGAGUUCUCCAAACAAUAAGCAAGAAAAUAAACGAAUUGAACUCCUCAGAUGUCCCUUCUGUUCCACAAAAUGUGCAGCAUCCAUGGACGUGCUUUCAGGAAUUGGAACGAUAUACAAGGCGAAAUAAGUCAUCACUGGAGUAUCCCACAGCUGAAGGAAGCAGACUUGACACAUUGCACCAUGUCAAACCAGAAAUCUUAAAAGGAACCAUUUGAAGUUAUACACAUGUUCUCCUACGAUAUCAAAUUCAACCAACCAUCGGCAGUGUGAUAGUUUGGAAAUCGAACAACUCAAUGAAGAACAGUGAAACAAAAAGAGUUGGCCAAACAUUAAGAGAGAAAAGAAACAAAUUGAACUCCUCAGAUGUCCCUUCUGCUCCACAAAAUGUGCAGCAUCCCAUGGAUGUGCUUUCAGGAAUUGGAACGAUAUACAACGCGAGAUAAGUCAUCACUGGAGUAUCCCACGUGCACACCUAAGGAAGCAGAUUUGGUACAUUGCACCAUUUCAAACCAUAAAUCAAGGAACCAUUUGAAGUUAUAUACAUGUUAACUUAUAGCAUCAAAUUCAACCGACUUAUGAGAACAUGAAAAUAGUACGGAAACCGAACAAACUCAAUGAAGAACACGGAAAUAAAAAGAGUUGUUCAAACAUUUAGCAAGAAAGAAACAAAUUAAACUCCUCAGAUGUCCCUUCUGCUCCACAAAAUGUGCAGCAUCCUGUGGAUGUGCUUUCAGAAAUUGGAACGAUAUACAAGGCGAAACAAGUCAUCAUUGGAGUGUUUGACACCUUAACUGAGCAGAGUCGAUAUAUUGCAUCAUUCGAAAGCAGAAAUCUUGAAAAAAGGAACCGUUUGAAGUUAUACAUGUUCACUUACGGUAUGAAAGCCAACCAGCUGUGGGCAAAGUGAAAAUGAAAAUAGUUCCUGAAUCAAACAAGGCUCAGUGAAGAACAGUGAAAUAAAAAUGGUUCUCCACAAAUUGUGCAAGAAUAAAACGGAUUAAACUCCUCAGAUGCCCGUUCUACUUCACUGAACAAAAACAAAUAAAUAAAUAGCAUCACAUUCGCAGAUACAAUGUCAGUUCUGUGAUUCAACGCCUAGAGUUUAUAAACCAGUCAGACUAACAAUCUCAAAAUAUCUAUUGUUUCUGUAACUCCAAAUUUGGUUUGCCGAGUCGUAUUGCUCGUGAAUGUUUUGAUGUUCCACACAAAGUUGCAACAACACCCAAAAGGAAACGGAAGGCCAAACCAGAAAGCUCGACAAAAAAUACUCAUAUGUGAUGCUCCACAUGUUUGCACGUGCUGCCAGUUUCAACCAAGUGUCAAACAGCAUGAAAAGAUUAAUGAAAACAAAUUAUCCAACAACACUAAAAAUAGAAAGAUUUGUCCAUUAAGCAAUAGAAGAAGCAAAUUGAACUCCUCAGGUGUCCCUUCUGCUCCACAUAAUGUGCAGCAUCCGGUGGAUGUGCUUUCAGGAAUUAGAACGAUAUAUGAGGUGAAGUAAGUCAUCACUGGAGUAACCCCACACAUAAAGGAAGCAGAUUUGAUACAUUGCACCAUUUUAUACCAGAAACUUAGAAGGAAUCAUUUGAUGUUAUACACAUGGUCACGUAUGGAUCAAAUUCAAGCAACGUUCAGCAGCAUGAAAAUAGUUUGGCAAUCCAACAACUCAAUGAAGAAAACUGAAAUAAAAAAAGUUCUUCCAGCAUUUAACUCCUCAGAUGUCCCUUCUGCUCCACAUAAUGCGCAACAUCUCUUAGAUGCGCUUUCAGGAAUUGGAACGAUAUAUGAGGCAAAACAAGUCAUCACAGGAGCAUCCUACGCCUCAAGGAAGCAAAUUUGUUACAACCUCCAUCCGUGGAUACACUCAUUUCAGCGACAGUUAAUUCUGGACGGAGGGAAUACAUUGCAACAUUUGAAACCAGAAAUCAAGAAAAAGAAUCAUUUCAAGUUGUAGACAUCUUCACUUAUGGUAUAGGAGUAUCAUAUAAGACCAACCGUCGGCAGCAUGAAAAUAGUAUGACAACCGGACAACUCAACAAAGAACACUGAAAUAAAAAGAGUUGUUGACACAUUGAGCCGAAUAAAAAUGAAUUAAACUGCUCAGACGUCCCUUCUGCUCCACAUAAUGUGCAGCAUCCCAUGGAUGUGCUUUCAGGGAUUGGAACGAUAUGCCAGGUGAAACAAGUCAUCACUGGUAUAUCCCACACAACAAGGAAGCAAAUUUAGGACACUGCACUGUUUUCGACUCUAACUAGAAACAUUGACAAAAGUUCAAGAAUCAAUUAAAAAAAAGGUCUCAACAUAGAACACUGAAAUAAAACACAUUAAACUCGUCAAAUGUCCCUUCUGCUCCAAAAAGUGUGCAGCACCCCAUGUAUUGGAUGCGCUUCCAGGAAUUGGAACGAUAUAGGAGGCGAAAUAAGUCAUCACUGGAGCAUCUCACACAACAAGGAAGCAAUUCAGCGCGAUUCAGUAGAAGAAAUAGGUCAUAUUUGAAGUUAUCGAAUUGAACCAGGUGUCAACAGCAAUUAACAGUUUUGAGAAUGAAACGAAGAUCUCAAGGAACGCCACUGAAGUAAGAAGUGCACCAAGCAUUAACAAAGGAAGUGGACUCCUCAGAUGUCUCUUGAGCUCCACACAGCGUGCAGCAUCCCGUUCCCAUUGGAUGGGACGCGGCACGCUUUCAGGAAUUGGAACGACAUAGUACAAAAUCGGUCAUCACUGGAGUAUAUAUCAGCUUAGCUUAAUUAGGAAGCAGAUUCGGUGCAGCGCGCUAUGCAUCUACCAACCAACAUUGGGGAAACAACCUGAACCCCGGAGGCUCCCUGACCUGCUGAACCCUAUACGCGCGAAUCUCAGAGGUUGAACUAGCAGCAGCUAGUAGCACGGGGAUCUCUAGGAGCCUCGGAGCGCAACAUGGACAGUGAGAAGAAGCGACGCAUCUAGUCUAGAUCCUAGACGAGGGUUACUUAGAGCUUAUGCGAGUGAAGCGGGAGGGAAGGUGCGGUACCAUUCGGGGCGUAGAGGUUCUGCCACCCGGCCGGGGGGGCGGCCCUGCGCGUCGCCGUCGCGCCGUGUCGCCGCCCCGCCCCGCCCGCCGCCGGCACGGACGGGAGCCGCGG